Molecule: long non-coding RNA, 4591 nt
Organism: Serinus canaria (Common canary)
Lineage: Eukaryota; Metazoa; Chordata; Aves; Passeriformes; Fringillidae
Exons: 3
Source: RefSeq, a predicted model, not a curated record
GAGGGCGGAGCGGGGCGGGGAGCGGAGCCCGGGGCGGCCGCGGCUGAGGCGGAAAAUCCGGCCCUGAACUCCUGCCGGGUUUAUGGGGACAGUGUUUUACACCCAGGAAGAUGAAGGCAGAUGGCCUUGGAUGUGACACUUCAUGGAAAUAAGAGGCAAAAAAUAUUCCAGGGUAUGAAAUCUCCCCGUAUUUUCAGCUGGAGAAAUAUCCUUCUUCACCCUGUCCUAAGGAGGUGGGAAACAGCAAAUUUUAUCUUCCUCCUUUGUGCAUGCAAACUGCAGAGUUCCUCGUGAGUCCUCUCUUCUUGCAGAAUUUCAAUAACCCGGUGAGAAAACAUCUGAAAAUGCAUUAAAGUUCCAUGAGGCAGCUUUAUCAAAUCUGCAUUCCCAGGGAUGGAUAUCCAUGUGUAUGGAAACAUCCAGCUCCUCACUGGACACUGCAUUUCUAAAUCCCAUCUUCCCCAACAGCCUUAAAUCUUUUGUGUGUGAAUAAAUCAGUGCUGCUUCACACCAGCAGCCUGGGAAAAGCCCAGCUCUUGCUGCUGCCAGGGACAUCCAGAGGGGUUGGUUUCUAGCUCAGUUUGGGUUCUUGUCUGCAGGUUUGUAUCAGUUCUUUUUACAGAUUUAUUGUACAGAGUUAUUGUGGGUGCUUUAAAUAGCUGGAUGUUGAAGAACAGUGGUUUUUCCUUGUUUUUCCAAAGAAUAUUACAGCCUGAACAUGACAUUAAUUUGUGGGAAAAAGGGGAAUCAGAAACCUGUCUAGUGAAGGCUUGAGAUUCCUUCAUUUUCUUCUCUCCUUUUAUUAUUUUUGCCUAAUGAUUUCCCUGUGGCCCAUCCUGCUGAAUUCCCAGUGUAUUGCAGUGGGAAGAGCUUCCAAGGGGAUCACCAAAGGCAUCCCAUGCUCCUGGCAGAUCAGUACUGGACUUACUAAUCAGUUUGCUUUGGUAUGAGGUUGACUCUUUUGGGAAUCUUUCAGGAUUGGCUUCAAACCAAUGAGUUAUCUUUAAUUUAAAAAUGGCAGCUUUUCAUACUGACUCUGUGCUGAGCCUAAAAACACAGAAUUUAUUUGUUCCCUAGCCAAUUUCCUGAAGCACUGAAGGGCCUUACACCUGCUGUGGGCCAUAUCAGCAAGGGAUUUUCUGUUUUCCUUUCCAGUCCUUUGCUGGUGGAAUAUUAUUUCUACUGGAGAACUUGGACUGAUUUUAUGGUUUAGAGGACUUUUAUUAUCUCUCCUGAGCUUAAGCUCAUUUCUGAGCAAUCUCAUGGUUCUGGAGGCAGAAACAUCAAUGCUGCUCUGAGCAUUUCCCCUCUGGGAAGGAGGUGACUUGUUUUGAGUGAUUAUAUUUUUUGGGGAAGAACUUCUCCCUUCGUUUUCUGGGACUGUUUGAUAUCUCAGAAAAUAAACAUUAAUUUGAAGUUUGGCAACCAGUUUGUGCCACUUUGGUGUGUAGAUAUUUGAGGACUUCAGUGUCCUAAUCUGAGGCAGAUCCCCAAUAAAUGUAGCCCCUAUAAUCUUAAAUAGUUGGUGUUAUUUCUGGAGUAGGCAAAUUCCUUGCUGAUUUCUGGAACAUUCCUCAGGUCUCUGUGCUGAGUAAUGCUGCAGCUACUGAGUAAACCUGUCCUGCCCUCUGGUUAUAAACAAAGCAAUGGUAAAAUUGGUAACUCUCAACUCCCAUUAAUAGAAUGGCCCUCAGGUGUCAAUUUUGGCCCCAAAUUAUUUCAGGCUUUUGAGAGUUUCUAUUAGACUUGGGAGCAUGCAGAUGCUUAAAAUGGCCUUAGAACCCAAUUAAGGCUACAAAUGGGAAGACAAUUUGUACUGACUCAUAUAAUUUUGAAGAACAUUUAAAACACUGAUUACUCUCCAAAGACAGGGAAAAUAAGGGUGAGUGCUGGGAAAUCAAAGGCAUAAAGAGUAAAUGGCUCCUGUAAGGUCAGAGUGGCAGCCUGGAUUCUCACUGGGGCACUUCUUGCUGUGACAGAUGCAUGUUAUUCAUUAUUAACCUUUGAUAAUUGUCUCAUUGCUUGUGGUAUCAUUUGGAAUGAAUCACCUUUCUCAUCCUCAAUAUGAGAACCUCACAAGUCCUGUGCUUUCCCCCCAAGUUUCCUGAGCUCACUGGUGGAUAUUAAUGAAAUAACUGUGCUCCAUUUGAGAGGCUGAAGCACCACAGCAGGAGAAGGUUGAUGGGAGGAAGCUGGCAGUGAGUUUGGCAGGCAGGUGAGAUGCCAGGAGAUUCCCAGGUGUGGGGAUCAAGAGGAUUUCAGAGUGCAGAGCCUCCCAAAUGUUAUAGAUACAUAUUAAAAUAUUGGCUUUUUGCAGAUACUAAAAUAGAUUCUAUAUGUGUGAUGUUAAAGUAAUUUUGUUAUAAAGAUACAGUUGUUAUUUCUGUUGUUAAUUAAGCUUAGUGAAAUAGCUGAUAGAAGUAUGCUUGUGUUAAAAUGCCUGCUUGGAUGGGAUAACAUCCAAUGAACAAAGGAUGAGGAUCCUGCUACAGACACUCCAAUUAUCAGCACUCAGUGUCUGAAGGCAGUGUGGAUCAAGGCCCAAAACCAGGAGAUGAUAAGAAUGGAUUCAAACCACAACCAAGGAAUCUGCAUGCUCUGAAAAGGUGGAACUGAGGAGGAGCCAUGCUAAACAAUUCUUGGAAGAUGUAAAGUAGUUUGGGAAGAAAGUUUACUGUGCAUAAUUGUUUAUGAAUAUGCAAGAGUCUGAUGCAAUAGAAAUGGGAUAUAAAGGGUGUUUCCAAACUAGCAGGUGUGCUCUUGGCUGAUCCCAUAAUAACCUUUGCUCUGUGGUCCUUGUCUCCUAUGGUCCUUUAUUAAACUUUUUACAUUUUCCCAGGAGAGACCGUGUUUUUCACACAAACACUGUCAGAGACAGCCCAGGUCUCCUCGUGGGAACCACAGAGAUCCUUCCUGUCUGUCUGAGAUGCUGGAGCACAGCUGUGCUCAUGGUCCUUCCAUCUGAUAUCUCACUGGUAUCUCACUGAUCUCUGCUUGGAAAGGGAGGGAAUCAAGCCCAGGAUUUGUGUGUCUGAGACGCUCAGCUGAAGGCUCCUGCUCUGCUCGGGGCUGUGCAGGGAGAGCAGAGGCUGAUUCCCUCUGACUCCAUUCAGAGUCCUGAGCCAGAUUUCCUGAGCUCUGCCUUCCCAGCCUUCCUCUCUGAGAGGUGCCAGCCCACAUCCACAUCCACAAGUGCCACUGAGCCUUCUUGAGCUGUUUAUUGAAUUUCUGGAAGUAUCAGAAAAGCACUCGACCAACAGGCUCAGCUCAGCCCUGGUGUGUGCUCUGGAGUAAAUCACCUAUCCCAGGCCAGGAGACCAAGGCUCCAGCAGAAAAGGAGCUUGAUGAUCUGAUUCUAAUUAGUUUCUUGAUUUAAUGGCAGUAAUUUUACUUUCAUGAUGGUUGCCAUUGCCCUAGCUAGCAGGGAUAAUAGACUUGGUUUCCUCCAAGGCUCAUUUCUGAUGCAGCUUCUGUUGAAUCUUAAGCAAUAACAACCAGAAGCCCACAGUUACUUCAAAAUUAUGGGAUUUCAGUGGUUAAAAAUGUCAUGUUCUCUCACCUGAGCUGUUGACUGGGAAUUGCCAGUAUAAGAAAAUGAGCAGUCAUAAAAUUAAAAUAAUGGCUUGAGUUGACGCCAAUUCCUUCUAAGAUGAUCUUUUUGUUUCCUUGCUGAUUUAAACACCUGCAAGUUAAAGUCCUCUUGAAACCAGAAAUGGGCAAAUAAAAUUUUUAAGGAAAUUAAACAGCAUGGGAUGGGAUGUGUUUACACCAGUAGAAAACCAGAAUAACUCCACAGAAGAUAAUGAAAAACAAGGGAAACAAAUGGACUGAUCUUAAUGACCUAGUGGGUGAAAUGUCAUUAAAGUAACAUUCAGUUUUGGUUACCUGAACCAAAAGUGCUGUCAAAAAUUACACCUGAGCUGCAGAACUAUCAAAACUUGUAGCUUUAAUUAUUUUAUUUUCCUUUCUAACUUGUAAAAAUUUCACUCUCCACAGCUGGAUUAGAAGUGGAUGAGGGAUCUUCACUAUUCCCCCUCUGUGAUUUGUACAAUCCACAAAUGGAUUCAGCUGGGGAAAGUUGUGUGAAGGUUUUGCCUGGUUUGAGCUCCUUGCCAAGCUUUACUCCCUUCAGGAAGGGUAAUUCUACAUCUCCCUGCCUUUGUCCUGCAUUAAAUGGAAUUUCCCAUUAUUAUUUCUUGCUCCUAUUUACCUUUCUAAAUUCUUCAAACCAAGGUGUGCUUGCAGCUCUGAGGCCUUGAGCUCUCCAAUUCCUCAUUCACAGAACACCUGCUGACUCCUGUGAUAACUCCAAAGCCUCUGCUGGAUUGUUCCUGAAUUUUGAAAAGCAAAAUACGUUCACAGUCCUCUCUUAGUUAUGAAUAAUGAUAAUCCAGACUGUGAUCUUGCAUACUUAUUUUUGUGUUAAGGUGUAGCCAUAUGUGUAGUGCCUUGGAAUAGUUUAUUAAAGAAAAGCCAGAUUGAUUCUAUGUUGCAUUUUCUGUGAUGUUCAUUAAAUAUUUGAAGUAAAAGACUUGUAAAGAAUGUAUGAAGAUGCAUUUUGAAUGAAAAUAUAUAAAUGGAGAAAACACUC